This 429-nucleotide ribosomal RNA is filed under the name uncultured archaeon. Its description in RNAcentral is "bacterial SSU rRNA". It matches the Rfam family "Archaeal small subunit ribosomal RNA", at positions 474 to 903 of the family's 1478-position model. The record is from RNAcentral.
UACCAGCUCUCCGAGUGGUGUGGAUGUUUAUUGGGCCUAAAGCAUCCGUAGCUGGCUGGGCAAGUCCCCUGUUAAAUCCACCGAUUCAAUCGUUGGAGUGCGGGGGAUACUGCUCGGCAAGGGGACGGGAGAGGCCGACGGUAUUUUCGGGGUAGGGGUGAAAUCCUAUAAUCCCGGAAAGACCACCAGUGGCGAAGGCUGUCGGCUAGAACGCGCCCGACGGUGAGGGAUGAAAGCUGGGGGAGCGAACCGGAUUAGAUACCCGGGUAGUCCCAGCUGUAAACGAUGCAGGCUAGGUGUUUGGGCGGCCACGUGCCGCUCUAGUGCCGCAGGGAAGUCGUUAAGCCUGCCGCCUGGGGAGUACGGCCGCAAGGCUGAAACUUAAAGGAAUUGGCGGGGGAGCACCACAAGGGGUGAAGCUUGCGGUUU